This 1256-nucleotide long non-coding RNA is filed under the name Anser cygnoides (Swan goose). Its description in RNAcentral is "lncRNA (ENSACDG00005002887.1)". Lineage: Eukaryota; Metazoa; Chordata; Aves; Anseriformes; Anatidae. The record is from RNAcentral.
AACGGGGCCAGAACCUCAAACCCGAGCCCGGCCCAGGAAAAACCCGGGGCAGAGGCGAGGGAACCAGCCCAACGGGUCCCGGCCGCACCCAGCCGCACGCAAACCCCCCUGCGUCCCGCCCAGCCCCGCAGCCCCCCCCCGGCAGCCCCGCAGCAUGGGACACGCACGCCUCCAGGGCCCCCCCCGAGUCACCACCCCGGGGGUCGCCUCCCCGCGGCCUUUGCCACAGGACCCGCGCCCCUUUUCCUCUUCCUCUCGCUGCCACCGCGGAGCGCCGAGACCCCGGGGGGCCCUCAGACACCCGGUCCCCACCGACGGGGCCGUGCCGGGCACCGUGACUCAGCACCGAUAAGCAGCACGCGCCGGGGGGGGCAGAUUUGGGCCCCCAGCCCGGCUCCCCCCCAUGCCCACCCGGCUCAAGGCCCUGCCACCAGCUCGGCGGGGACCCCGCGGGGUGCCCAGCAGGGCACGGGGAGCGGGGCUUCAGGGUGGGGUCCCCACGUCCCCGUGGCUGCCCAGGGUCUGGAAGGGCUCUCCCCUCCCAGAAGAGCCUGGGAAUUGACACCAGCUUGGCACGGCACGGCUCGGUACAGCAUGGCACGGCUCGGUACAGCAUGGCACGGCACGGCACGGCACAGCUCGGUACGGCACGGCCCAGAUCACAGGGCCGCGCACCCAGGCUCGCCGCCCCCCACCCAGCUCACCCCAGCCACGAGUCUGUAGGGUCUCAGCACCGCAGCUGCCCUCUCUGCCCCCACACAGCCCCGUCUCGGGGGGGGGCGCCGGGCGCGCGUGACGGAUGUGACCUCCUGUCCCCGAGCCGCGGGGAGCCGCGCGCCCCUGCGCAGCGCAGAGCUGGUCCCCAGCACCCCACAGUGCCCGGCGCCACCCCGUACGGCCCAGCGCCCCCCUGCUGAGGGGGUCCCCAGGGGACACCCCACGCAGUGCCCAGGAGGCCACCGAGGUGUCACAGCGCGGCGUCCCCCGCCUGGCUCACCCCAAACCUCGCCCCAUUCCCCCCACGCUCGGUGGGCAGCAGGGACAGAUCCGGGGGGGGUCCCAACGGCAGCACGGGCCCUGCUGCGGGGUCCCUUCCCCAGGAGCCCCCACCUCGGCGGGUCCCUGCCCCCAGGACCCCGCUGUCCCCCCCCCGUGCCAAGCGGGCACGCUCGGCAGGACUUUGCCCUGGCCAUCCGGAUCCACAGGUUGCCUCGCAACCGGCUGGCAGCCCCCUUCCCACGGGGCCGGGUCACCAC